GUGAGGAAUAUUGGACAAUGGAUGGAAAUCUGAUCCAGCCAUGCCGCGUGCAGGAAGACGGCCCUAUGGGUUGUAAACUGCUUUUAUACGGGAGCAAUAAGGUCUAUGCAUAGAUUGAUGAGAGUACCGUAUGAAUAAGCAUCGGCUAACUCCGUGCCAGCAGCCGCGGUAAUACGGAGGAUGCGAGCGUUAUCCGGAUUUAUUGGGUGUAAAGGGUGCGUAGGCGGCUUUGUAAGUCAGCGGUGAAAUUUUGCAGCUUAACUGUAAAAGCGCCGUUGAUACUGUGAAUCUAGGAUUUGGUUGCUGUGGGCGGAAUGUGUGGUGUAGCGGUGAAAUGCAUAGAGAUCACACAGAAUAUCGAUUGCGAAGGCAGCUCACAAAGCCAAUAUUGACGCUGAGGCACGAAAGUGUGGGGAUCAAACAGGAUUAGAUACCCUGGUAGUCC
RNAcentral lists this ribosomal RNA (445 nucleotides) under uncultured bacterium. RNAcentral describes it as "partial 16S ribosomal RNA". It matches the Rfam family "Bacterial small subunit ribosomal RNA", at positions 354 to 796 of the family's 1533-position model. The record is from RNAcentral.